Herpailurus yagouaroundi (jaguarundi) is the source of this 289-nucleotide long non-coding RNA. RefSeq lists it as uncharacterized. NCBI's taxonomy places the organism in Eukaryota, Metazoa, Chordata, Mammalia, Carnivora, Felidae. The record is from RefSeq and is a predicted model, not a curated record. The transcript has 3 exons.
UUGUGUCCUGGAGCGAGCAGAGCUGCAUUUAAAAGUAUGCUAGCUUCCAGCUUGAGAUUCUCAGAGGAGCAGCAAAGCAAAGAACAGAACAUUGCCCUGAAUGUUUGGAGAGCUCAGAUGGGGGCUUAGCCAUCAAAUGUAACUGUCACCAGCACAGCCCCUUGCCUCAGUCUAGAUUCAACCACAGUGCUAUCUUCUUUUUGAAACUUCAACGGACUUUCUUCUAACAAAGUCCCCACAAUGUAAACUCUAUGAGAACAGAGGCCUUGCAUUUCCAGUCUGGGACGAG